Molecule: ribosomal RNA, 419 nt
Filed under: uncultured bacterium
Lineage: Bacteria
Description: bacterial SSU rRNA
Rfam family: Bacterial small subunit ribosomal RNA
Source: RNAcentral
UGAGGAAUAUUGCACAAUGGGCGCAAGCCUGAUGCAGCGACGCCGCGUGUGGGAUGAAGGGGCUACGCCUCGUAAACCACGGUAGCCCGGGACGAAAAACGCCUUAGAGGCGUUAGACGGUACCGGGAAAGUAAGGGUCGGCUAACUACGUGCCAGCAGCCGCGGUAAUACGUAGGAGGCGAGCGUUAUCCGGAUUUACUGGGCGUAAAGCGCACGCAGGCGGCUCUGUUAGUCGGACGUGAAAGCUCGCGGCUUAACCGGGAGAGGCCGUUCGAUACUGCGGGGCUUGAGGUAGGGAGAGGAAUGCGGAAUUCCCGGUGUAGUGGUGGAAUGCGUAGAUAUCGGGAGGAACACCUGUGGCGAAAGCGGCAUUCUGGCCCUCACCUGACGCUGAGGCACGAAAGCGUGGGUAGCAAACA